Stylophora pistillata is the source of this 622-nucleotide long non-coding RNA. Lineage: Eukaryota; Metazoa; Cnidaria; Anthozoa; Scleractinia; Pocilloporidae. The record is from RefSeq and is a predicted model, not a curated record.
GGCACCAGAGGUGAUUUGUUCAUUAAAAUAUGAUGCCAGGGUAGAUUUGUGGUCUGUAGGUGUUAUCCUCUAUGAGGCACUGUUUGGUGUGGCACCUUUUGCCUCUGCGUCUUUUGCGGAACUUGAGAAGAAGAUACGAUCUUCAGCUCCCAUUGUGCCCUUUUACUUUCUGGAUGGUUGUUACCCGGGUUAGCUCCCACUGUGUCCAGCCAUCCACCACAGUGAUCCUAAUAGCUGGCAAAUCCCCCCAACUCAGUCAAAAGCUUCCAUUCAAGGCAGUGGUCAACACCAGUUGGAUCAGUGGAAGGAGGAGGUUAUCAUGAAUUCUGGAAAUCAACUGCUAGGAAACCCAAUGGAGCUUCUAAAAAACACUGGCUGCAGAAGUGGUUGAGAGCUGAAAGAUUCAACUGUAACAGUGUUACAAUGUUCCAUAUGUGAACCUGAACUUGUUAGGUUGAUGUUUGUCUGAGAGAGUCUCCUGAAAUUCUGGCAACUAUCUUAAUUAAGCUAGUUUGUUGAAUUGUUCAAGGAGUCAGGGGCGUGACUCCUGGAGCUCCCAUGGUGUGAAAGUCGCAUUAACGUCAAUUUUUUUUCAUGUAUUUUUUUCAACUUGUGCAGGGGA